AGUGAACGCUGGCGGUAGGCCUAACACAUGCAAGUCGAACGGCAGCACAGUAAGAGCUUGCUCUUACGGGAGGCGAGUGGCGGACGGGUGAGGAAUACAUCGGAAUCUACUUUUUCGUGGGGGAUAACGUAGGGAAACUUACGCUAAUACCGCAUACGACCUACGGGUGAAAGCAGGGGAUCUUCGGACCUUGCGCGAUUGAAUGAGCCGAUGUCGGAUUAGCUAGUUGGCGGGGUAAAGGCCCACCAAGGCGACGAUCCGUAGCUGGUCUGAGAGGAUGAUCAGCCACACUGGAACUGGGACACGGUCCAGACCCCUGAGGGAGGCAGCAGUGGGGAAUAUUGGGGAAUGGGCGGAAGCCUGAUCCAGCCAUACCGCGUGGGUGAAGAAGGCCUUCGGGUGUAAAGCCCUUUUGUUCGGAAAGAAAAGCAGCAGGUUAAUACCCCGCUGUUCUGACGGUACCCAAAGAAUAAGCACCGGCUAACUUCGUG
Molecule: ribosomal RNA, 491 nt
Filed under: uncultured bacterium
Lineage: Bacteria
Description: partial 16S ribosomal RNA
Rfam family: Bacterial small subunit ribosomal RNA
Source: RNAcentral